Long non-coding RNA from Gastrolobium bilobum, 1638 nucleotides. RefSeq lists it as uncharacterized. NCBI's taxonomy places the organism in Eukaryota, Viridiplantae, Streptophyta, Magnoliopsida, Fabales, Fabaceae. The record is from RefSeq and is a predicted model, not a curated record. The transcript has 3 exons.
AACGAAGCUUGCAAAUUACGGCGCUGGUCUGCAUUGGAGCGGUGCUUGCAAGCUUAGGGUUUGUACUGGAGUUAGGUUUUCGUGACAGAGAGUGUAUAAUCUCUCUUCGUAUCCUUCGGGCUUGUCCCAUACCAUUGGCUGGAGCUUAAGUAUACACAGAGGAGGGGAGAGCAAACAGCAUUGCAGCUGGACGAGGAAGUACAUGUAAACACACGACAAUACAAAACUAGGAGAGACUCUUGUGGAAAUUGUUGACACUUGUUUGAAGGAACUAUGGGUGGAUGUGGGUCUGGAACAGGUGGCUGUGAUAGCAUGAUCUCCAGGCAUUCUUCGUCGUUAUCCCCAUCGAGGGUGAAGACGUGCUACUGUGGAGUUCCGGAUGCAUUGCAUAUGUCCCAGACGCCAAGGAAUCAUGUAACGCCCGACCGCUUCAAGAAUCAAUGGCUAUCCCCACAUACUAACAAGAGACUUUUCAGUGUACUUUUUCCUCACUCGUACACUUCCCGGGAAAACUUCUCAGGAGGUCACCCAUCACAGAAUUGCUCCAAGUCAAGCACGCUUAACUAUGGAGUUCUUCCGUUCCGAGCUACCAAAAAGAAGAUGCAUCUUGUUAGUAUAGGUAGUACCAAUUAAUUCUUAUAAGCUAUCCCAAACUGUGUAGUCUCAUACCUGCACAGUCUUUGGAAUCCCUCUAUUUCGGGUGUCGAUUCGAUUCAUUCAUGCAUGUAACCCCCGCUAGAAGCCUGUCAGGAGCCGCUCCUUGUCCGUGCCUCUUUGCACCGGCGAUCACUCCCCGCCCUCGUCAGCGCUCGGGAUGUUACAUGCCAACCAGCUUCCGCCUGGUUCGUCCUCGAACCACACCGUACUGGAAGAGAGGUCAUGCUCUGAUACCACUUGUAACACCCGGUCGCUUCAAGAAUCAAUGACUAUCCCUACAUACUAACACGAGACUUUUCAGUGUGCUUUUUUCUCACUCGCACACUUCCCGGGAAAACUUCUCAGGAGGUCACCCAUCCCAGAAUUGCUCCAAGUCAAGCACGCUUAACUAUGGAGUUCUUCCGUUCUGGGCUACUGAAAAGAAGAUGCAUCUUGUUAGUAUAGGUAGUACCAAUUAAUUCUUAUAAGUUAUCCCAAACUGUGCAGUCUUAUACCUGCACAGUCUUUGGAAUCCCUCUCUUUCGGGUGUCGAUUCGAUUCAUUUAUACAUGUAACCCCCAUUGGAAGCCUAUCAGGAGCCGCUCCUUGUCUGUGCCUCUUUGCACCGGCGAUCACUCCCCGUCCUCGUCAGCGCUCUGGAUGUUACAAAUCCAGGAAGACAAUUUUUUGGAUGUCGUAACUUCCAAACCAUGGAGGACUGCCAUUUCUUUGAAUGGUUUGAGGAAUCGGCUUGCCGUAAUUGUAUCAAGAACGAGAAGCUUGUCAAAUUAUUAUCCAUUUCGCAAAUGAUAAUUGUUAUAACAUUUGGGAUUAUCAUCACGAUUGUUAUAAUAUAUUAUUGACUUCUUAUGUAGUGGUAUGCCACUUAUUUUGCUAUAGGGCAGAUGUAAUCCUUAGGUUUCUGUACUUGUAAACUUGUUUAGGCUGUUGGACUGUAAGUCUUUGAUGUAAUAUUUCGUAUUAUCAAAGGUAUUAUUUCCA